AUGGAUGGCGACACCACCUUCUUCACAUGGUGGUCCAAGGCCGUCGACGAAUCCCCGGGCUGCCUACGGAAGGGCCUCAACUCCAUCGUGGCACUCUCCGCUUGGUCCAUUUGGAAGCACCGCAUCGCGGUCAUCUUCGAGAACCGGUACCCCUCCAUUGAGGACCUUAUACGCUCGAUUAAAGAUGAUGCCUGCCUCUGGGCUAAGUCGGGUGCUCAAGAGCUUGCUGCGAGUAUCCCUGUAACUUAA
RNAcentral lists this ribosomal RNA (249 nucleotides) under Triticum aestivum (bread wheat). RNAcentral's name for it is "partial small subunit ribosomal RNA". Lineage: Eukaryota; Viridiplantae; Streptophyta; Magnoliopsida; Poales; Poaceae. The record is from RNAcentral.